GACGCGGUGCCGGAGUGGUUAACGGGUGCGCCUGCUAUUCAGCAGUCUCAGUGUAUAGGCUUUGCCUGCGUGAGUUCGAAUCUCAUCCGCGUCG
This 94-nucleotide transfer RNA is filed under the name Tilletia horrida. RNAcentral describes it as "tRNA-Ser". It matches the Rfam family "tRNA". From Rfam's summary of the family: Transfer RNA (tRNA) molecules are approximately 80 nucleotides in length. Their secondary structure includes four short double-helical elements and three loops (D, anti-codon, and T loops). Lineage: Eukaryota; Fungi; Basidiomycota; Exobasidiomycetes; Tilletiales; Tilletiaceae. The record is from RNAcentral.